ACGCUGGCGGCAGGCUUAACACAUGCAAGUCGAGCGGGCGAGGUUGCUUCGGUAACUGAGCUAGCGGCGGACGGGUGAGUAAUGCUUAGGAAUCUGCCUAUUAGUGGGGGACAACAUUCCGAAAGGAAUGCUAAUACCGCAUACGCCCUACGGGGGAAAGCAGGGGAUCUCUCGGACCUUGCGCUAAUAGAUGAGCCUAAGUCAGAUUAGCUAGUUGGUGGGGUAAAGGCCUACCAAGGCGACGAUCUGUAGCGGGUCUGAGAGGAUGAUCCGCCACACUGGGACUGAGACACGGCCCAGACUCCUACGGGAGGCAGCAGUGGGGAAUAUUGGACAAUGGGCGAAACGCCUGAUCCAGCCAUGCCGCGUGUGUGAAGAAGGCCUUUUGGUUGUAAAGCACUUUAAGCGAGGAGGAGGCUACCGAGAUUAAUACUCUUGGAUAGUGGACGUUACUCGCAGAAUAAGCACCGGCUAACUCUGUGCCAGCAGCCGCGGUAAUACAGAGGGUGCGAGCGUUAAUCGGAUUUACUGGGCGUAAAGCGUGCGUAGGCGGCUUCUUAAGUCGGAUGUGAAAUCCCUGAGCUUAACUUAGGAAUUGCAUUCGAUACUGGGAAGCUAGAGUAUGGGAGAGGAUGGUAGAAUUCCAGGUGUAGCGGUGAAAUGCGUAGAGAUCUGGAGGAAUACCGAUGGCGAAGGCAGCCAUCUGGCCUAAUACUGACGCUGAGGUACGAAAGCA
Molecule: ribosomal RNA, 736 nt
Filed under: uncultured bacterium
Lineage: Bacteria
Description: bacterial SSU rRNA
Rfam family: Bacterial small subunit ribosomal RNA
Source: RNAcentral